RNAcentral lists this transfer RNA (75 nucleotides) under Candidatus Methanoperedens nitratireducens. RNAcentral describes it as "Candidatus Methanoperedens nitroreducens Pseudo tRNA". It matches the Rfam family "tRNA". Rfam says of the family: Transfer RNA (tRNA) molecules are approximately 80 nucleotides in length. Their secondary structure includes four short double-helical elements and three loops (D, anti-codon, and T loops). RNAcentral also lists the same sequence under 1 other name. The record is from RNAcentral. Lineage: Archaea; Methanobacteriati; Methanobacteriota; Methanomicrobia; Methanosarcinales; Candidatus Methanoperedentaceae.
GGGGUUGUAGGGUAGUCUGGUCCAUCCUACGGCGUUCGGGACGCCGUGACCUGAGUUCAAAUCUCAGCAACCCCA